This is a non-coding RNA of Durio zibethinus, 308 nucleotides long. The record is from RefSeq and is a predicted model, not a curated record. NCBI's taxonomy places the organism in Eukaryota, Viridiplantae, Streptophyta, Magnoliopsida, Malvales, Malvaceae.
AAUCCCAGAGGAGCUUGGAAAUUUGAUAAACUCGGUGAGCUUGGAUCUUUCCUUGAAUGCUUUAACCGGGAACAUUCCAACUACUCUGGGCAAGCUUCCAAAACUACGUAUCCUGAGGCUUUAUAACAAUAACAUAUCUGGAAUAACCCCAGAGGAGCUUGGAAAUUUGAUAAACUUGGCGUCUCAACAACAACAAAUUGUCUGGACAAAUUCCUAGGUCCUUAACUACUCUUAAGUCACUGCAAGUGCUGUGAGUGGUGCUGUCAGAUUUUUUUUUGCAUUAGCCAGUUCAACCUUAACUUCUAGAA